CGUUCCCGGGCCUUGUACACACCGCCCGUCACACCAUGGGAUUUGGUUCGGCCUUAAGCCGGUGUGCCAACCGCAAGGGGGUAGCCGACCACGGCCGGGUCAGAGACUGGGGUG
Molecule: ribosomal RNA, 114 nt
Filed under: uncultured bacterium
Lineage: Bacteria
Description: partial 16S ribosomal RNA
Rfam family: Bacterial small subunit ribosomal RNA
Source: RNAcentral